Long non-coding RNA from Maniola jurtina (meadow brown), 108 nucleotides. RefSeq lists it as uncharacterized. Lineage: Eukaryota; Metazoa; Arthropoda; Insecta; Lepidoptera; Nymphalidae. The transcript is spliced from 3 exons. The record is from RefSeq and is a predicted model, not a curated record.
UGUUUUCUUCUCUCGACUAUCUUGGUCGGUUCAAAUAAAUACCCCGUCCCGCCACACGCAGGAAAAAAGGUAUUUAUGUCCCCAUUUUUUUUUAAAUCUAUACUUAUA